GAUGAACGCUGGCGGCGUGCCUAGUACAUGCAAGUCGAGCGAACAGACGAGGAGCUUGCUCCUUUGACGUUAGCGGCGGACGGGUGAGUAACACGUGGAUAACCUACCUAUAAGACUGGGAUAACUUCGGGAAACCGGAGCUAAUACCGGAUAACAUGUUGAACCGCAUGGUUCAACAGUGAAAGACGGUCUUGCUGUCACUUAUAGAUGGAUCCGCGCCGCAUUAGCUAGUUGGUAAGGUAACGGCUUACCAAGGCAACGAUGCGUAGCCGACCUGAGAGGGUGAUCGGCCACACUGGAACUGAGACACGGUCCAGACUCCUACGGGAGGCAGCAGUAGGGAAUCUUCCGCAAUGGGCGAAAGCCUGACGGAGCAACGCCGCGUGAGUGAAGAAGGUCUUCGGAUCGUAAAACUCUGUUAUUAGGGAAGAACAAAUGUGUAAGUAACUAUGCACGUCUUGACGGUACCUAAUCAGAAAGCCACGGCUAACUACGUG
Molecule: ribosomal RNA, 497 nt
Filed under: uncultured bacterium
Lineage: Bacteria
Description: partial 16S ribosomal RNA
Rfam family: Bacterial small subunit ribosomal RNA
Source: RNAcentral